AGGACGCUAAUACCGCAUGGAGCCACAAUACCGCAUGGUAAAGUGAUGAAAGGAGCAAUCCGCUGAGAGAUGGACUCGCGUCCGAUUAGCUAGUUGGCGGGAUAACAGCCCACCAAGGCGACGAUCGGUAGCCGGACUGAGAGGUUGAUCGGCCACAUUGGGACUGAGACACGGCCCAGACUCCUACGGGAGGCAGCAGUGGGGGAUAUUGCACAAUGGGGGAAACCCUGAUGCAGCAACGCCGCGUGAGGGAAGAAGGUUUUCGGAUUGUAAACCUCUGUCCCCGGGGAAGAUAAUGACGGUACCCGGGGAGGAAGCUCCGGCUAACUAC
RNAcentral lists this ribosomal RNA (331 nucleotides) under uncultured bacterium. RNAcentral's name for it is "partial 16S ribosomal RNA". It matches the Rfam family "Bacterial small subunit ribosomal RNA", at positions 157 to 504 of the family's 1533-position model. The record is from RNAcentral.